RNAcentral lists this transfer RNA (73 nucleotides) under Canis lupus familiaris (dog). It matches the Rfam family "tRNA". Rfam says of the family: Transfer RNA (tRNA) molecules are approximately 80 nucleotides in length. Their secondary structure includes four short double-helical elements and three loops (D, anti-codon, and T loops). Further hydrogen bonds mediate the characteristic L-shaped molecular structure. tRNAs have two regions of fundamental functional importance: the anti-codon, which is responsible for specific mRNA codon recognition, and the 3' end, to which the tRNAs corresponding amino acid is attached (by aminoacyl-tRNA synthetases). tRNAs cope with the degeneracy of the genetic code in two manners: having more than one tRNA (with a specific anti-codon) for a particular amino acid; and 'wobble' base-pairing, i.e. permitting non-standard base-pairing at the 3rd anti-codon position. The record is from Rfam by way of RNAcentral. Lineage: Eukaryota; Metazoa; Chordata; Mammalia; Carnivora; Canidae. RNAcentral also lists the same sequence under 1 other name.
GCCUGGCUGGCUCAGUCAGUGGAGCAUGAGACUCUUGAUCUUGAGGUUAUGAAUUCAAGCCUUAUGUUGGGUG